UUUUAGCAAUUUGGUAGAAAAAAAUAAAUCAUAACAAAAGAAAAAUUUUAAGAGAGUCCUUAUAUAGUAUAUUCAUUUCUGAUCUACGAGAUGAUACGUGUCAGUAUUAUAUUGGUUGAACAAAAAAAUAGAAAAGGGAAAAAAAAAAUUGACGAUCAAAUUUUAUUUCUUUCCUUUCUCUCUCCUUCUCUCUUUCUCUCACGAUCGAAGUCUCGAUCCGACAAAGUAAGGUAUGCUUUAAUCGGAGGUUAGGGAAUCAGUGGAGUUUUGGGUCGGAAGAGAUCGUAGCGGAAGCGACUGACUCGGCGGAGAUGCGUAGCAGAGGCAACUGACUCGACGGAGAUUGUAUCGGAGGCAACUGUAGCAGAGGCGAUUUGAAUCGUCGUGGAGAUUGUACGGGAGGUGUGCAUGUGUUUCGAUUUGGGUUCUACAAGGAACUAAUAUAUAAAUGCAUGAUGGACGAACUAAAAGAUGUAAAGAAAUUUCUGAAUCCCACAGAAGUGUUACUCGUUGUUGAUACCAUGACUGGACAAGAAGCUUCAGCUCUGGUGACAACGUUCGAUGUAGAGAUAGGAAUCACAGGAGCCACUUUGACAAAGCUAGAUGGUGCUGCUUUGAGUCUCAAGGAGGUUAUUGCCAAACUGGAAGGGGUUGUUGUCAUUCAGUACUGUGCAUUACGACUAUUGCAGGCGACAGUUGAUGAGUCCCUCUAUGAUGUCAGUUUUAAGCUCCAAAAGAUGGAGAACGAAGAGGGUCAAGUCACUUUUUUAUUAUUAUUGUAAGGAAACUUAAUGAAUUGAUUGUUCUUGUUUGUUUUUGGAUUAUAAUUGCAGCUCAGCUACUAACAGGUUGAUCACAUCAAAGGAUCAUGCUUAUGUGCAGCUCAACAUUGGUCAUCUCGAUGCUGAUGGGGUGUACACUGGUCAAUUCACUACAUUUUCUCUCUGCGGUUUUGUCCGUGCUCAGGGUGAUGCCGACAGUGGAGUCGACAGGCUAUGGUAGAAGAAGAAGAAGAUUGAAGCCAAACAACAUUUUUUGAAUUCGCUGUUGGGAAGUUGCAAGCGAGGUAGUAAAAUUCAUCAGCGGUUCAGGAAGGCAAAGACGACGAAAACAAUUUUUGCUCAAUAGGUUAGAUUAUAUGAUAUGGAUGUUGAAGAUGUGGGAAUAGAUCUUCUAACAAGAAGUGGUAACGUAGAUGAGCUUUGUGAGGCAAGUACGAGUGGGUACGUUGCUCGUAGUUCAGACCAGUUUGCAACGGUUGGUGAGCCCAGAGAUGGGAUGGAGUUCGAGUCAAAGGAGGCUGCGUACUAUUUCUACAGAGAGUACGCUCUAUCAGUGGGAUUUGGGAUCACAAUCAAAGCUAGCCGUCAUUCUAAAAGAUCUGGAAAGUUUAUUGAUGUCAAGAUAGCAUGUUCGAGAUUUGGAACCAAGCGCAAGAAAAGCGCAGCUAUAAACCCAUGAUCUUGUCCAAAGACGGGUUGCAAAGCUGGUCUACAUAUGAAGAGGAAAUAAGAUGAGAAAUGGGUUAUUUAUAGUUUUGUUAAAGAACAUAACCAUGAGAUAUGUCCAGAUGAUUUAUUUAUUAGCAUAAGGGGGAAGAACAAGCCUGCUGGUGCGCUCUCCAAACCAAAGAAAGGUCUUCAACUGGCUCUAGAAAAGGAAGGCUUCGAUUUAUUGUUGGAGCAUUUUAUGGACAUGCAGGAUAAGCAGCCUGGUUUUUUUUAUGCGGUUGAUUUCAACAGUGAGAAUAAUGUUAGAAAUGUCUUUUGGCUUGAUGCAAAGGCCAAGCAUGACUAUUGCAGCUUUUCUGAUGUUGUUCUCUUUGACACAUUUUAUGUUAGGAGCAGAUACAGAAUCCCGUUUGCUCCUUUUAUUGGGGUUAGCCAUCACUGUCAAUACGUGCUGCUUGGAUAUGCUUUGAUUGGAGAAGAGAGUGAGUCAACAUAUUCUUGGCUAUUUCGGACGUGGCUUAAAGCAGUCGGUGGUCAUGCUCCUGGAGUGAUGAUAACAGAUCAAGAUAAACUUAUAAGUGACGUUGUUGUUGAAGUUUUUCCAAGUGCUCGUCAUUUUUUCUGUUUGUGGAAUGUGCUGAGUAAGAUUCCUGAGAUGCUGAAUCCUUUUGUGAGUCAAGAUGAUGGUUUUAUGGAAAGUUUUAGAAAUUGCGUACACAGCUCUUGGACAGAUGAACAAUUUGAAAGGAGGUGGUCAAAUAUAAUUAGUAAAUUUGAACUUGACGAUAAUGAGUGGGUUCAGUUGUUGUUUAGAGAUCGUAAAAAAUGGGUGCCACUUUAUUUUCAUGGGAUUUGUUUAGCUGGACUGUCUGGACCUGAAAGACCUGGCAGUGUCGCCUCUCAAUUUGACAAUUAUAUGAACUCAGAGUCUACUUUCAAGGACUUCUUUGAACUCUACAAGCAGUUUCUGCAGUAUUGAUGUGAUGUGGAAGCAAAUGAUGAUCUGGAAUCUCAGAGCAAACAGCCUACAAUCAGGUCUUCUUUGGCUUUCGAGAAACAACUUUCCUUGAUCUACACGGACGCUGCUUUUAAGAAAUUCCAAGCUGAGGUACCAGGCGUUGUUUCUUGUCAACUCCGAAAAGAAAGAGAAGAUGGGACAACAGCGAUAUUCCGCGUCAAAGAUUUUGAGCAACGGCAAAAUUUAUCUGUUGCUCUGAAGAAAGAGUUGUUGGAUGUGUGUUGCUCUUGUCAUUUAUUCGAGUACCAGGGAUUCCUAUGCAAACAUGCUAUACUUGUCCUUCAAAAUUCUGAUGUUUCCCUCAUUCCAUCUCAGUAUAUAUUGAAGUGUUGGUCAAAGAGAUGUAACAACAUAGAGGGUUAAAAAGAAGAAUGUGUCGCUACUCAUAAUCGAAUGGCACGUUUUAAUGAUCUCUGUAGGCGCUUUGUUAAGCUGGGAGAAGUUGCAUCUUUAUCAAAUGAAGCCUACAAGACUGCUCUAACGUUGUUGGAGGAAACUAAGAAGCAUUGUGUUAAUAACUCUCCCAAGUUUCCUUCAGAGCCAGAUAAGUUAAUGACGGGUGGAUCUAUUGGCUGAGAAAGUGAAGGUAUGUUGGAAGGUACAUCAAAAUUGUCCAAGAAAAAGAAAAUUCAGAAGAAAAGAAAGGUUUAUUGUAGGCCAGAGGAUGCAACAAACAGGUCAGAAGAAGUACCCCAAGAAACGG
This is a non-coding RNA of Camelina sativa (false flax), 3172 nucleotides long. Lineage: Eukaryota; Viridiplantae; Streptophyta; Magnoliopsida; Brassicales; Brassicaceae. The record is from RefSeq and is a predicted model, not a curated record.